GCCACCAAGGCGACGAUCAGUAGCCGGACUGAGAGGUUGAACGGCCACAUUGGGACUGAGACACGGCCCAGACUCCUACGGGAGGCAGCAGUGGGGAAUAUUGCGCAAUGGGGGAAACCCUGAUGCAGCGACGCCGCGUGAGCGAAGAAGUAUUUCGGUAUGUAAAGCUCUAUCAGCAGGGAAGAAACAAAUGACGGUACCUGAAAAAUAAGCUCCGGCUAACUAC
RNAcentral lists this ribosomal RNA (226 nucleotides) under uncultured bacterium. RNAcentral describes it as "partial 16S ribosomal RNA". It matches the Rfam family "Bacterial small subunit ribosomal RNA", at positions 264 to 504 of the family's 1533-position model. The record is from RNAcentral.